UACGUAGGGGGCAAGCGUUGUCCGGAAUUAUUGGGCGUAAAGAGCGCGUAGGCGGUCCGAUAAGUCGGCUGUGAAAGUCAGGGGCUCAACCCUUGAAAGCCGGCCGAUACUGUCGGACUAGAGUCCGGAAGAGGCAAGUGGAAUUCCCGGUGUAGCGGUGAAAUGCGCAGAUAUCGGGAGGAACACCAAUGGCGAAGGCAGCUUGCUGGGACGGUACUGACGCUGAGGCGCGAAAGUGUGGGGAUCAAACAGG
This 253-nucleotide ribosomal RNA is filed under the name uncultured bacterium. RNAcentral describes it as "partial 16S ribosomal RNA". It matches the Rfam family "Bacterial small subunit ribosomal RNA", at positions 524 to 776 of the family's 1533-position model. The record is from RNAcentral.